This 544-nucleotide ribosomal RNA is filed under the name uncultured eukaryote. RNAcentral's name for it is "SSU rRNA". It matches the Rfam family "Eukaryotic small subunit ribosomal RNA", at positions 21 to 569 of the family's 1831-position model. The record is from RNAcentral.
UGUAGUCAUAUGCUUGUCUCAAAGAUUAAGCCAUGCAUGUCUAAGUAUAAGCAAUUAUACAGCGAAACUGCGAAUGGCUCAUUAUAUAAGUUAUCGUUUAUUUGAUAGUGCCUUACUACUUGGAUAACCGUGGUAAUUCUAGAGCUAAUACAUGCUGAAAGCCCCGACUUACGGAGGGGCGUAUUUAUUAGAUUAAAAACCAAUGCCCUUCGGGGCUCCUUGGUGAUUCAUGAUAACUUCUCGAAUCGCACGGCCUUGCGCCGGCGAUGGUUCAUUCAAAUUUCUUCCCUAUCAACUUUCGAUGUUUGGGUAGUGGCCAAACAUGGUGGCAACGGGUAACGGAGGGUUAGGGCUCGACCCCGGAGAAGGAGCCUGAGAAACGGCUCCUACAUCCAAGGAAGGCAGCAGGCGCGCAAAUUACCCAAUCUCAACUCGAGGAGGUAGUGACAAUAAAUACUGAUGCAGGGCUCUUUAGGGUCUUGCAAUUGGAAUGAGUACAAUUUAAAUCCCUAACGAGGAACAAUGGAGGGCAAGUCUGGUAAUC